UACGUAGGGGGCAAGCGUUGUCCGGAAUCAUUGGGCGUAAAGCGCGUGUAGGCGGCUCGAUAAGUCUGCUGUGAAAGUUCAGGGCUCAACCCUGAAAUGCCGGUGGAAACUGUCGAGCUAGAGUCCGGAAGAGGCGAGUGGAAUUCCUGGUGUAGCGGUGAAAUGCGCAGAUAUCAGGAGGAACACCGGUGGUGUAGACGGCUUACUACAGGAUGAUUGACGCUGAGGCACGAAAGCGUGGGGAGCAAACAGG
This 253-nucleotide ribosomal RNA is filed under the name uncultured bacterium. RNAcentral's name for it is "partial 16S ribosomal RNA". It matches the Rfam family "Bacterial small subunit ribosomal RNA", at positions 524 to 776 of the family's 1533-position model. The record is from RNAcentral.